Molecule: ribosomal RNA, 292 nt
Filed under: uncultured bacterium
Lineage: Bacteria
Description: partial 16S ribosomal RNA
Rfam family: Bacterial small subunit ribosomal RNA
Source: RNAcentral
GUGUCAGCCGCCGCGGUAAAACGUAGGACACGAGCGUUAUCCGGAGUUACUGGGCGUAAAGGGCGUGCAGGCGGCAUGGUAAGUCUGAUGUGAAAGCUCCCGGCUCAACCGGGAGAGGACAUUGGAGACUGCCAAGCUCGAGGCAGAUAGAGGGAUGUAGAAUUCCGGGUGUAGUGGUGAAAUGCGUAGAGAUCCGGAGGAAUACCAGAGGCGAAGGCGGCAUCCUGGGUCUGACCUGACGCUGAGACGCGACAGCAUGGGGAGCGAACGGGAUUAGAUACCCUGGUAGUCC